RNAcentral lists this long non-coding RNA (485 nucleotides) under Homo sapiens (human). RNAcentral's name for it is "HSALNT0027622". The record is from RNAcentral. Lineage: Eukaryota; Metazoa; Chordata; Mammalia; Primates; Hominidae.
ACUUGAGUCUGAUGUUAUGAGUCACUGGGGAGAUAUAAUAUGCUGAUUGCUGAACCAGUUUCAGAUUCACCCAGAUGCCUUGGAUAAUUUGUUUUGGAAAACAUAUAUUGAAGAUAUCAGAGCCACAGUAUGACAGAAGACUAGGUCCCAGAAUCACAACUGGAAGGAAAGUCAUGCACUAAUGAAGAAAACAAUUCUUAAGGCUUAUAUGAGCUGAAAACAAACUUCUGUCAUGUUGCUGCCUUUAUCCAUUUUUAAAAGAUGUUUGUCAUCAGUAGUGCUACUCUAAUAAAAUACAUCAUGAGCACAAUAACUUAAACUGGUCUCAUUAUAAAUCCUAGAUCUCCUAUCAUCACAGUUUAAAUCCAGACUACUGGUGUGGAAAGGUAUAUAAAUGCCUUCCAGAAUCUGAAAGGCAUAAUUUUGUUCACUUAUUUCAGGUUUUACUAAGGAUUCCAUACCCUUGGCUUCUGUUGAAUUAUUUC